GAGAGAGAUUGUUGAACUGCUAAUUCAACACCACCAUGACUAAACCCAUGGCUCCCUCA
RNAcentral lists this transfer RNA (59 nucleotides) under Tupaia nicobarica (Nicobar tree shrew). Its description in RNAcentral is "tRNA-Ser". The record is from RNAcentral. Lineage: Eukaryota; Metazoa; Chordata; Mammalia; Scandentia; Tupaiidae.